Non-coding RNA from Notechis scutatus (mainland tiger snake), 809 nucleotides. The record is from RefSeq and is a predicted model, not a curated record. NCBI's taxonomy places the organism in Eukaryota, Metazoa, Chordata, Lepidosauria, Squamata, Elapidae.
AUGACUAAACUAGCAUGUAAAGUGGAUCCUUGUAGUUGGAUUAAGCAUGCCCCUGCUAGGAUAAUUUGUGGACUCCAAAUUGUAGAUAAGAUGGAUGACUUUUGAAAAGUUCUGGGCUUUUUUGUAUGUUAGGUAGACUUUGAAAUUUUCCUUCAUGAGAUUGUCCAAAGGGAAUUGAUUUUAUUUUUUUUGUAUGUGUAGAGUUUCUGAACAUAUUUAGGGAUUACUUCUUUGAGAGACUACUCAAACUAUUAGAAGAAACAUACAAUACUGUAAUUCCCAUGAGGAAAUCCAGAAUUGAGCUAAAGUCGAUCACUUAUAUAAAUUCAUUUUGUUGUAGAGUGGAUGCUAGCUAAGUUAACUAUGAGCGGAAUAGCUAAGUUCUCCUUUCCUUGGGAGCAUUCUAAACCUCUUCCCAUAUUUUGAAAGCAGAUAAAGUUUUGUUUAGAACACAGUGUCUGAAGCACCAUAAUCUGAUUCUGAACCACUUUGGGAUUCAUUGAACCACCUCUAGAAUGGCAUAACCUACAAGAAAGUUUGACAGUCCAAUGGAAACAGAACCAUUCUACAUUCCAUUCCAUUGUAGUCAUCCCUAGAGCUGAAGAUUUUGAGUUCAGCUAUUAUAUGUUAUUGUAACUGAAAUCAAGGGUAGAGUAACUCUGACCCUCCAGAUAUCGCUUAGGUACAACACCCAGCUAUCUUAAACAGCUUAGACAGUUGUGAGUUGUAGGUCAACAAUUCUUGAAGGCUUACAUAUUUUUUUUAUCCCUGACCUAAUUAAUUAUUCUGAACAAACUGCAGAACAGUAU